AAGGACAGCUCUGUCCUCACCAGUGGAUGUUCAGGACUGACAGAAGCAGAUGGAGGCCCACACUAGGACAUCAUUUCCCCAAAGAUGUCACCUGGGACUGUGGAAAAGCCUGAGUUCUCUAAGAGAAGAAAAGGAGAAGGGAGCAGGACACAGCAAGCUGGGGCGCACCCAGGGGUAAGAGGAGAGACGGUGUGCUCUGGUCAUCAGGAUGGCCUUCCCAGGUGUGUGGAGGAGGCAGGUGCGCCGAGCCCAGUGCUGCACGGGGGUCAGAGGGCCUGAGGCCGAGAGAGAGGAACAAACAGCGGCAGAACUGGAAGGGAGCCAGACCAACAGGGCUUCAAGAGUGGCUUGCUGGGGGCUGGCAAGGCAGCCUUGGCGGAGUGCACCUGUGAACUUUCUCAGAAACAGGAGUGGCACAAGUAGGAGGAGGAGGAGGCGGGGACAAAGGGAGGGUUCUUUUAAGAAUGGGGAGGUCUGAGCAGAGGAAAGGAGUGUCAACACACGAACAGAUUGCAUGGGACAACAUCAGGAGGUGCAGAAGAAGGGACUGAGCAAAGAGGUCCCUGAGCCCACAUGCUUCUCUGGGUGCAGGGGGAAAAAAGAAUGGGUGAGAAGACUGAGAAAGGAGGAAAAACAUGGACGGCUGAGAAGGCCAGCAGGAUUCUGCCAAGAUUCCCUGUAAUCUCUCCAGUAAAUAAGAGGACGCUCUGCCCCGCGGCGGGCUGAACCUGAAGGAGGAGCCGCUGCUGCCCGCCGGCCUGGGCUCGGUGCGCUCCUGGAUGCAGGGCGCGGGCAUCCUGGACGCCAGCACCGCGGCGCAGAGUGGCGUGGGCCUGGCACGAGCACAUUUUGAGAAGCAGCCCCCCUCCAACCUCAGGAAAUCCAACUUCUUCCACUUCGUGCUGGCCAUGUAUGACCGGCAGGGGCAGCCGGUGGAGGUGGAGCGUACAGCUUUCAUCGACUUUGUGGAGAAGGACCGAGAGCCCGGGGCUGAAAAGACAAACAACGGGGUCCAUUAUCGCCUCCGGCUGGUAUAUAACAACGGACUUCGGACAGAACAGGACCUCUAUGUGCGUCUCAUCGACUCCGUGUCCAAGCAGGCCAUCAUCUACGAGGGGCAGGACAAGAACCCCGAAAUGUGCCGCGUGCUACUCACCCACGAGAUCAUGUGCAGCCGGUGCUGUGACCGGAAGAGCUGUGGCAACCGGAAUGAGACACCCUCAGACCCCGUCAUCAUUGACAGGUUCUUCCUCAAGUUCUUCCUCAAAUGCAACCAGAACUGCCUAAAGAACGCGGGGAAUCCCCGAGACAUGCGCCGCUUCCAGGUGGUGGUAUCCACAACGGUGAGCGUGGAUGGACACGUGCUGGCCGUGUCCGACAACAUGUUUGUGCACAACAACUCCAAGCAUGGCCGCAGGGCGCGCCGCCUGGACCCCUCCGAAGCUGCCACCCCCUGCAUCAAGGCCAUCAGUCCUGGGGAGGGCUGGACCACGGGCGGCGCCACCGUCAUUGUCAUCGGCGACAACUUCUUCGACGGGUUGCAGGUCGUGUUUGGGAACGUGCUCGUGUGGAGUGAGCUCAUCACGCCCCACGCCAUACGGGUGCAGACGCCCCCACGGCACAUCCCUGGGGUGGUGGAGGUGACCCUGUCCUACAAGUCCAAGCAAUUUUGCAAGGGAGCCCCCGGCCGCUUUGUCUACACAGCCCUGAAUGAGCCCACCAUUGACUACGGAUUCCAGAGGCUACAGAAAGUCAUUCCCAGACACCCCGGAGACCCCGAGAGGCUGCCCAAGGAAGUGCUGCUGAAGCGGGCGGCCGACUUGGCGGAGGCCCUGUACGGAGUGCCCGGCGGCAACCAGGAGCUCCUCCUGAAGCGCGCAGCAGACGUGGCCGAGGCUCUGUACAGCGCCCCCCGCGCGCCCGCGCCGCUCGGGCCCCUGGCCCCCAGCCACCCGCACCCCGCCGUCGUGGGCAUCAACGCCUUCAGCAGCCCGCUGGCCAUUGCCGUCGGGGACGCCACGCCAGGGCCGGAGCCGGGCUACGCGCGCAGCUGCGGCAGUGCGUCCCCCCGCGGGUUCGCGCCCAGCCCGGGCUCGCAGCAGAGUGGCUACGGCGGCGGCCUCGGAGCUGGCCUCGGCGGCUACGGGGCGCCGGGCGUGGCUGGCCUCGGUGUGCCCGCGUCCCCCAGCUUCCUCAAUGGCUCCACGGCCACAUCGCCCUUCGCCAUCAUGCCCUCUAGCCCCCCGCUGGCCACUGCCUCCUCUAUGUCCCUCCCGGCGGCUGCCCCCACCACCAGCGUCUUCUCCUUCUCGCCUGUCAACAUGAUCUCCGCUGUCAAACAGAGGAGUGCUUUCGCCCCCGUGCUGCGCCCACCCAGCUCCCCAGCCCAGGCCUGCCCCAGAGCCCAUGGAGAGGGGCUUCCAGGUGAGUGCUCCGUGCUGCCUCGCUGGAACCUGGCAGAGCAGCUGGGCCUGCGCAGCCCACUCCAUCCACAUCUCACAAGAGCUUCAAGCCAGGUGACCAGUUCUCCCUGGGGGUUGCAGAGGAGGGAGCUCCACAGGGGUUCAAGGAGGUCCAUCUGGACCCCACUUCCCUGGGCCUCAUAGCUUGGUACGGUCUCACUCUGGACCAUCAAGGAGACAAGAAUACCAGUUGGAGAAGGUCUGGAAACCACUUCGAGGCCUCAUCCAGUUGAGCCCAGAGUAAAGACCCAACAUGCAGAGCUGGAAAAACCCCACCGUGGGCUGCGUGCCUUUGACAUGUACCUCCCUAUGUCCACUGGAGGAUAGCAUACACCACUGUGAGAGACCAGGUCACUUGCUGGAUGGAGGGGGACUGACCUUAGAUAAGGUUUAGCCCAGCUUCUCCUUCCCCAUUUUACAGAUAGGGAAUUGAGACCAGGUCACCCCUCCUGCAGCCCAUUAGUGAAAUGAUUGUUAUUUGCCAUUUAUCAAUCUCCUCCAAGUCAACAUCCAACUUAAAGCCUGGGUUCUGACCAGUAGUGUAUAUAGCAAGUCAAAAAGAGUUGCAUCCCUUAGAAUAAGAUGAUUCUUGGGGUGGGCUUGUUAGGUGAUGCUCUAGGAUAACUCAAAGUGGAACACAGUUAUAUUUAGCCUUGUUUCCAAGUUUUGGAUAAUUUUUCUUAAACUAAGUGUGUCUGGAUCUUAAAAUGCAGGGAAUAGGAAGGACAGAAGGCCACCAGUUUCUCCUGCAGCAAACCAUGGGAAGGGGGUUAGAAAGAGGCAAGGGUUAUGGAAGUGAUGAAUUUCGUGGGGGUGUGGGAGGAAGACAUGCUGCUACCGCUGCAUUAGGUAUCUGUACUCCUGGAGGCUGACCUCUUCCCUUUGCUGUCCUGAUACAUGGCCGUCUGCUUCCUCACCUUGAGACAGGCCCUCUGAAGGAGACAGGCUGGGAAGAAGAGCCCAGAGUCAUGUCUCUCGAUUGAAGAAACUAGGAGGUCAAGGGCUUGGGGCUGUACCUCCUAAGAGGUCUGGGGGGCACACCUCACCUAACUGUCUGCAGUGCUGGGCCUAGGCUAGGACUGGGGGUGGCUGACUACCUUCAAGGCUCUUGAUAGUUCUGCCCUCAAAAAGUGCCAUAUGUCCUGCAUGCUGCCCCCAGUCGAGAGGGGCACAGGCUACACAUGGCUUAUGGCUCCCCUGCUUGGUUACUGCAGACCAGCCUUUUGAAGAUUCUGACAAGUUCCACUCUCCAGCUCGGGGGCUUCAGGGCCUGGCGUACUCCUAAUUAUGGUCUACAGGUGUCCCCACUGAGCCCGGACUAGUGGUCCCUCCAGG
Molecule: RNA transcript, 3797 nt
Organism: Aethalodelphis obliquidens (Pacific white-sided dolphin)
Lineage: Eukaryota; Metazoa; Chordata; Mammalia; Artiodactyla; Delphinidae
Gene: EBF4
Gene name: EBF transcription factor 4
Exons: 17
Source: RefSeq, a predicted model, not a curated record